This 219-nucleotide small RNA is filed under the name Paenibacillus sp. P22. RNAcentral describes it as "T-box leader". Lineage: Bacteria; Bacillati; Bacillota; Bacilli; Caryophanales; Paenibacillaceae. The record is from RNAcentral.
ACAUUCGCAAUGAAGGGAACCGCCAGGCGUCACAGCGGCGCGCCAGAGAGUAGCCUCCAUCGGCUGGGAGAGGCUAUCGUGCCGUAUCGCCUGCACCCAUCCCGGAGCGGCCGGCGACGAGCCGGACAGCGCCCUCUGUUACAAGGGUCCGGAGUGGGACGGCAUUCAUGCCGCCCAAGCGAAGGUGGUACCGCGGAAGCAUAGGCUUUCGUCCUUUUU